AUUGAACGCUGGCGGCAUGCUUUACACAUGCAAGUCGAACGGCAGCGCGGGCUUCGGCCUGGCGGCGCGUGGCGAACGGGUGAGUAAUACAUCGGAACGUCCCCAGUAGUGGGGGAUAGCUCGGUGAAAGCCGGAUUAAUACCGCAUACGACCUGAGGGUGAAAGCGGGGGAUCUUCGGACCUCGCCCUCUUGGAGCGGCCGAUGGCAGAUUAGCUAGUUGGUGGGGUAAAGGCCUACCAAGGCGACGAUCUGUAGCUGGUCUGAGAGGACGACCAGCCACACUGGGACUGAGACACGGCCCAGACUCCUACGAGAGGCAGCAGUGGGGAAUUUUGGACAAUGGGCGAAAGCCUGAUCCAGCAAUGCCGCGUGUGUGAUGAAGGCCUUCGGGUUGUAAAGCACUUUUGGCGGGAACGAAAAGGACUGUGCCAAUACCACGGUUCGAUGACGGUACCCGCAGAAUAAGCACCGGCUAACUACGUG
This 484-nucleotide ribosomal RNA is filed under the name uncultured bacterium. Its description in RNAcentral is "partial 16S ribosomal RNA". It matches the Rfam family "Bacterial small subunit ribosomal RNA", at positions 30 to 507 of the family's 1533-position model. The record is from RNAcentral.